Long non-coding RNA from Cyprinus carpio carpio, 1433 nucleotides. The record is from Ensembl. NCBI's taxonomy places the organism in Eukaryota, Metazoa, Chordata, Actinopteri, Cypriniformes, Cyprinidae.
CAAUGACGCAGCAGCAUGCUCGAAUUUCCCGCAAAAAUUUACCAGUACCACUCAGAUUAGAAAACAUUAUUGUAAACUAACUGGUUGUAAAUCGGGCUAAAGUAAGGCGAUAGUUUUUUAACCAAAAAAAUUUAUGGACAGCAGCUUUAAUCUAUCCUGUAGUUUUAAGUGGCUUUAUUGGUUUGGAUAUAAUAAAUGACAAUCCGCUCAACCAAUGGCGUGGCUUUGGGGUGGAACUACCUGUUUUUUCUGUCCAAUGGUGGACGAUGUGUUUGAAACCUGUUUGAAAACAGUUUUUCAUAAAAUUAUUUGAAAACAAAUAAAGAAACCGAGUCUAAUAGAGUUAGGUUAUGUUUUUGUAUAAUAAUAACUGUAAUAACAUUUAUGGCGGAAAUAGUUGGCAUGAAUUUUAUAGCCUAGUUAGUCAAUAUCGUCGUUGUUUCAAUAUCAGUAUUUAACCUACACAAUAAUCCCAUUGACCAAAACCGAAAUUUUGCUGUAAGUGACCCUAUUAACGGCAAACACAAGCACACGGUGAAUGCUUAUUAUUGUAACUAGAGCGAUAAAGGCACAAUCAGCACGAGACCCCUUUGAUUUGGUUCUCGCGCGUAGCGCAGCAUCCCCCGACGCGUGCGAUAUCCGGAGCGCUGUCAGCAGUGUAGGACCGCUGGGGGUUUUGCUCGCACUGACUCUACACCAAUGACAAUGAACUGCGCAUCCUCAUAUUGCAUUCGAAGCGGAGUCUGGUUUUCUGACAUCUGCUACACAAUGACAGGUUCAUUUACCUUAAUUUGACGGUGAUCCCACGCGUUAUUGUGGGAAAUGCAUAAGAGAUGGACAAAUAAUAUGGACUGGACACCGUCUGUUGAGCGAUACCAGAGAGAUGCUGAAAGACACUAUAAUGGACAUAAAGCGGCCCGGCCCAAGAGCAUGAUCGAUAUGUGCGGUAAGUAUAUUAAAUUCAUUGGUAGAUCUUCAAUUUUACACUAAAGAUGUAAAUGUGUUGUUAUUUUUAAUGCUAUGUCACAAUACAGUUCCACAAAUGUCACUUUAUGAUGUGCUUAAAGGGGUAGUUCACCCCAAAAUUUGUUCCUCACCCUCAUGUUGUUCCAAACCUUUAUAAAUUUCUUUCUUCUUUUAAAUGAAAAGAAGAUAUUUUGAAGAAAGAUAAAAUCCUACAGCAACUUGAGGGUGAAUAAACAAUGAAUUUUCUUUUCUCUUUCCCGCAGUACAAUCACUGACUUUUUAAUAGACUAAGCCCAAAUUUUACCGAAACAACUUGUUUUGUCAUAAACCUGAGUUUCAAAACACUGUAGCAGUGACGUUCUGAAAAAUGGAGUCGGUCUGCAUUGUUGAGUUGCUUCUAUCUGGAUAUUAAAUGACUCAAGCUCUUUCAUAAAGAUGGAAUCAUCUCAACCCCAUCCCCCCCCCCC